Molecule: ribosomal RNA, 437 nt
Filed under: uncultured bacterium
Lineage: Bacteria
Description: bacterial SSU rRNA
Rfam family: Bacterial small subunit ribosomal RNA
Source: RNAcentral
CCAGAUGGCGACCGGCGCACGGGUGAGUAACGCGUAUCCAACCUUCCCCAUAGUAGGGCACAGCCCGGCGAAAGUCGGAUUAAUUCCCUAUGCAGUCCAGAGAGGACAUCUGACCUGGACGAAAGAUUCAUCGCUAUGGGAUGGGGAUGCGUCUGAUUAGGUUGCAGGCGGGGUAACGGCCCACCUGGCCGACGAUCAGUAGGGUUCUGAGAGGAAGGUCCCCCACAUUGGAACUGAGACACGGUCCAAACUCCUACGGGAGGCAGCGGUGAGGAAUAUUGGUCAAGUGGACGGAAGUCUGAACCAGCCAAGUAGCGUGCCAGGAAGACGGCCCUAUGGGUUGUAAACUGCUUUUAUCAGGGGAUAAAGUGAGGUAUGUAUACCUUUUUGCAUGUACCUGAUGAAUAAGGACCGGCUAAUUCCGUGCCAGCCGCGGC